This 241-nucleotide ribosomal RNA is filed under the name uncultured Staphylococcus sp. RNAcentral describes it as "partial 16S ribosomal RNA". It matches the Rfam family "Bacterial small subunit ribosomal RNA", at positions 99 to 334 of the family's 1533-position model. Lineage: Bacteria; Bacillati; Bacillota; Bacilli; Caryophanales; Staphylococcaceae. The record is from RNAcentral.
CGGACGGGUGAGUAACACGUGGAUAACCUACCUAUAAGACUGGAAUAACUUCGGGAAACCGGAGCUAAUACCGUAUAAUAUAUUGAACCGCAUGGUUCAAUAGUGAAAGACGGUUUUGCUGUCACCUAUAGAUGGAUCCGCGCCGCAUUAGCUAGUUGGUAAGGUAACGGCUUACCAAGGCAACGAUGCGUAGCCGACCUGAGAGGGUGAUCGGCCACACUGGAACUGAGACACGGUCCAG